AUUUAUUUAAUAUAAAAAGUAUAUUUGAUUUCCAAUCAAAAAGUCUAAUUACCUAUAGAAUAAAUA
RNAcentral lists this transfer RNA (66 nucleotides) under Rhombodera valida. RNAcentral describes it as "tRNA-Gly". RNAcentral also lists the same sequence under 1 other name. Lineage: Eukaryota; Metazoa; Arthropoda; Insecta; Mantodea; Mantidae. The record is from RNAcentral.